This 412-nucleotide long non-coding RNA is filed under the name Pan troglodytes (chimpanzee). Its description in RNAcentral is "lncRNA (ENSPTRG00000053373.1)". The record is from RNAcentral. Lineage: Eukaryota; Metazoa; Chordata; Mammalia; Primates; Hominidae.
GUGGUGGCCAGCAUCUGUAAUCCCAGAUACUUGGGAGGCUGAGGUGGAAGGAUCGCUUGAGCUGGGAGGUUGAGGCUGCAGUGAGCUGUGAUUGCACCACUGCAUUGUAGCCUGGGUGACACAGCGAGACCCUGUCUCAAAAAACAAAAACAAAAACAAAACCCAAAAAACAAAAAACAAGCCAACAAAUAACAGUUUUUUUUUUGUUUUUUCAAACAGGAUUUUGUGAAUAGAGACUAUAAAGCACUCCUGUAUCCUUGGCCCCAAAGAGGGCUCUCCAGACAGAAAGUUGCCUGCAUGUCCCGAACCAUGGUGAAAGAUAAGCAGAUGGGAAAAGAGAGCCCAGAAAUCUGCAAUGUGGGAUAUCCUGAAGAGAGCUCAGACUUCUGGUUCAGCAAUUGAUCUGAGGCCA